Molecule: ribosomal RNA, 497 nt
Filed under: uncultured bacterium
Lineage: Bacteria
Description: partial 16S ribosomal RNA
Rfam family: Bacterial small subunit ribosomal RNA
Source: RNAcentral
GAUGAACGCUGGCGGCGUGCCUAAUACAUGCAAGUCGAGCGAACGGACGAGAAGCUUGCUUCUCUGAUGUUAGCGGCGGACGGGUGAGUAACACGUGGAUAACCUACCUAUAAGACUGGGAUAACUUCGGGAAACCGGAGCUAAUACCGGAUAAUAUUUUGAACCGCAUGGUUCAAAGGUGAAAGACGGUCUUGCUGUCACUUAUAGAUGGAUCCGCGCUGCAUUAGCUAGUUGGUAAGGUAACGGCUUACCAAGGCAACGAUGCAUAGCCGACCUGUGAGGGUGAUCGGCCACACUGGAACUGAGACACGGUCCAGACUCCUACGGGAGGCAGCAGUAGGGAAUCUUCCGCAAUGGGCGAAAGCCUGACGGAGCAACGCCGAGUGAGUGAUGAAGGUCUUCGGAUCGUAAAACUCUGUUAUUAGGGAAGAACAUAUGUGUAAGUAACUGUGCACAUCUUGACGGUACCUAAUCAGAAAGCCACGGCUAACUACGUG